This 869-nucleotide ribosomal RNA is filed under the name Pestalotiopsis pandanicola. RNAcentral's name for it is "partial 28S large subunit ribosomal RNA". It matches the Rfam family "Eukaryotic large subunit ribosomal RNA", at positions 35 to 930 of the family's 3401-position model. Lineage: Eukaryota; Fungi; Ascomycota; Sordariomycetes; Amphisphaeriales; Sporocadaceae. The record is from RNAcentral.
UAAGCAUAUCAAUAAGCGGAGGAAAAGAAACCAACAGGGAUUGCCUUAGUAACGGCGAGUGAAGCGGCAACAGCUCAAAUUUGAAAUCUGGCCCUCGGGUCCGAAUUGUAAUUUGUAGAGGAUGAUUUUGGUGCGGUAUCUUCCGAGUUCCUUGGAACAGGACGCCUUAGAGGGUGAGAGCCCCGUACGGUUGAAUGCCUAGCCUCUGUAAAUCUCCUUCGACGAGUCGAGUAGUUUGGGAAUGCUGCUCUAAAUGGGAGGUAAAUUUCUUCUAAAGCUAAAUAUUGGCCAGAGACCGAUAGCGCACAAGUAGAGUGAUCGAAAGAUGAAAAGCACUUUGAAAAGAGGGUUAAAUAGCACGUGAAAUUGUUGAAAGGGAAGGAUUUGUGACCAGACUUUUUCUGGGCGGAUCAUCCGGGGUUCUCUCCGGUGCACUUUGCCCAGUAAAGGCCAGCAUCGAUUUUCGGCGGCGGAUAAAAGCAGUGGGAAUGUGGCUCCCCUCGGGGAGUGUUAUAGCCCAUUGUAUAAUACGCUGCUGGGGAUCGAGGUACGCGCUUCUGCAAGGAUGCUGGCGUAAUGGUUAUCAAUCACCCGUCUUGAAACACGGACCAAGGAGUCGAACAUUUAUGCGAGUGUUUGGGUGUUAAACCCUCACGCGUAAUGAAAGUGAACGGAGGUGAGAGCCCGUACGGGUGCAUCAUCGACCGAUCCUGAAGUUUUCGGAUGGAUUUGAGUAAGAGCAUAACUGUUCGGACCCGAAAGAUGGUGAACUAUGCGUGGAUAGGGUGAAGCCAGAGGAAACUCUGGUGGAGGCUCGCAGCGGUUCUGACGUGCAAAUCGAUCGUCAAAUCUGCGCAUGGGGCGAAAGA